GAAGAGGGAUUUUAUAUAACCUUUAUAUUAGCAAAUAAAAAAACAUAUUUAAGUAGAUCUUAUUAUAUUCAACUACUAAUCAAUUAAUUUAUUUGGAAAUUAGGAUGUGACUAAUAGGUGCAUAUUAUCUUUUCUUGGAGGUAAAGAUAAGUUGAAGAAGCUUCAUGAUUUUAAUAAAUACAAACUGUAAAUAAAACACAUUCUACAAACUUUUAUUAAAAUAUGAAAUACAAACGCCGAUACAGAAAAAGAAAACACCGAAUAAUAUAAUUAGUUGCUUCAAGUCUAUGAUCGAAUAAAUUAGGGCUUCCGCCUCAACCAUGGCGGCUUCUGCCAUGUCCGCUUAUUCUUGACCAACUUGACGAGGCCCGACUCUUCUGCAACGUCGUUUUAAGCCUAUCAUGCUGCACCUCCUUGCUCUUUCCUUCUGCAUAUAUAGAUCAACCAAUAAACAAUUAAUAAAGAUAGGAAAAAAGAAGGGCUUGGAGAUAUAUAUGAUGCAGCUAGAAAAAUGAUGAAACUGACCCAGAGUUGUGGCCUCUGGAUAUAAUCUGGCUGCUGUUUCCAUCGCCGCCGUGGCGCCAUCUCUCGUCGACGAUAAAAGGAUUAGUACUAUCAGCAAAGGAAUGAUGCAAUUUCCCAGAUAACUACUUCUACAGCUUUGUUUCGCCAUUAGAUUUUCUGCUUAAUUAUUAUGGUCUGCUAUGAUAUGUAUAGUACGUACCAGCAUUAAUAUACACUAGUUGUAAGUAGGAAAAACAAUUAGGUUAAUUAAUUUCAUAAUAUAUCCAUAGGGCCG
This 799-nucleotide long non-coding RNA is filed under the name Linum usitatissimum (flax). RNAcentral describes it as "long non-coding RNA (LUSI_LNC004914)". Lineage: Eukaryota; Viridiplantae; Streptophyta; Magnoliopsida; Malpighiales; Linaceae. The record is from RNAcentral.